AAAACGGCCCUUUUCAGAGCCAACAAUUCUAUUUAAAAAUUAAAA
This is a non-coding RNA of Agrilus planipennis (emerald ash borer), 45 nucleotides long. Lineage: Eukaryota; Metazoa; Arthropoda; Insecta; Coleoptera; Buprestidae. The record is from Rfam.